This 1046-nucleotide long non-coding RNA is filed under the name Piliocolobus tephrosceles (Ugandan red Colobus). RNAcentral's name for it is "lncRNA (ENSPTEG00000023130.1)". Lineage: Eukaryota; Metazoa; Chordata; Mammalia; Primates; Cercopithecidae. The record is from RNAcentral.
ACACUUCCAUAUGAUCACAUUUAUAUAUAUAUGUAUGUAUUUAUCGAUGUAAAAUGAUAAUUUUUUAUGUUUUAGCUUUUUUUUUAAUUUUUUUCAAGUUAUCGCUAUACUACUGUCAACAUUUAAAGGGUAUGUCACAUGUUGAUGUUGUAGACAAUUCAAUGAAAUCCAAUGAAUCUGGAAUAUAUAGACUUCGUACACAUGACAAAUUACUUGAAGAUGAAGAAUAUACCCAUGUUUUGAAUUUCUUUGCAAAAAGGAAUAUACCAAAGGAAAAAACAAGCUUUAGUAACCGAGUUUGACUUUGGUAAAGUAACAAUUUCUUACAACUUUGAAAAUUUGUUAGAAAGAGCUUAUAGUUUUGCUUAUUCACUUGAAACUUUUAAUGGUGGGAUACCAACAAAAACUUAUGAUGAAGAUAAAAAUAAAGGAAAAUUCAAAAUGUUAGGUAUAUAUGGUAAUAAUUCAAUCAAUUGGUUCAUUGCAGACCUCGCAUGCAUGAUAAGUGGUACAACAGCUUUAGUCAUGCAUUCCAAAUUUAGCAUAGACGAAGUGAUUGAUAUAUUAAACGAAUCAAAAGUUGAAUGGUUAUCUAUCGAUAUAAAUUUAAUUAGUGAAAUAUUAAAAAAAAAAAAAAAAAAAAAAAAAAAAAAAAAAAAAAAAAAAAAAAAAAAAAAAAAAAAAAAAAAAAGUGCUCGUUUUUUUUUUUUUUUUUUUGAUGUCUGUUUACUUAAUGUUUGUUGGGGGUGGGGUAGGAAAAAGAGAAGUAUGGGAUUGGUUACACUUUUCAGGAGACAUACUUCGGUUAUACAUGGAUUAUACUUGGAUUACAAUUGGAUUGCAAUUGGAUUAAUAUAUAUAUAUAUAUAUAUAUAUAUAUAUAUAUUUCGGUUUUAUCUUUGUUUGGAAAAUGAUUUUUGAAGUUAUUAUGUACAGAACAUUUUAUGACAUACACUGAACACAAUUCAAUAAUAUGCCAAAUUACAUAAUGUAUUAUGACCCUAUAAAAAAAUAAAAAAAAUGUCACUUCACCUGAUAUAUAUAUA